This 699-nucleotide ribosomal RNA is filed under the name Triticum aestivum (bread wheat). RNAcentral describes it as "partial small subunit ribosomal RNA". The record is from RNAcentral. Lineage: Eukaryota; Viridiplantae; Streptophyta; Magnoliopsida; Poales; Poaceae.
AUGGCCGACUCCGCCGCCCUCUCCUCCUCCCUCCCGCGCUCGCUGGCGUCCAGGAGGCCCCUCUCCUCCCCGCUCCGCGGCGGCGGGAGGCCCCGGUCCUCGCGCCGCUGCCGCCCCGGGUCGCGGCUGCGCGCCCGGGCGAGGAAGGGCGAGCCCGAGGACCUCUACGGGCCCUACCCGUGGGAGCAGCCCCUGGAUCUCUCCACCGGGUUCGAUAUCGAGUGGGUGCAAGAGGAUAAAAUCACGCUCUUCACUUCCGAUGGGCUGGUUCAGAUAGGCGGUAACAUGGUGCCUCGUCGAGUCACCGCCUCCGAGAAGAGGCAACAAAAGGGAAAAGGCAAACCCCGCCGGUUUCAGGAGAGCUCUUACAUGGAUCCAAAUCAAAGUCUUUGCCUUGGAGCACUGUUUAACAUAGCAGCUACAAAUGGCCUGGACAUGGGUAGAAGAUUAUGCAUCUUUGGCUUUUGUCGGUCUAUUGAAAUGCUAAGCGAUGUGGUGGAAGAUACCGUCUUGGAGCAUGGUGGCGAGAUUGUCACUGCAGAGAAGGCGAGCAGUGACGGCCUUCAGGAGAAGCUGACCAUGUCGGUGGCUGUUCCGUUGCUGUGGGGUGUCCCUCCGGCAUCGGAGACCCUCCAUGUGGCCGUGCGGAGCGGCGGAGGCAUCGUGGACAAGAUCUACUGGCAGUGGGACCUGUUCUAA